UCAUAAAAAAUGAUGAGUUCGUGUCCUUUGCAGGGACAUGGAUGAAUCUGGAAACCAUCAUUCUCAGCAAACUGACACAGGAACGGAAAACCAAAUACCACAUGUUCUCACUCAUAGAAAAACUCUAAUGGCCUUCCCAUUGGACAACUAUGAUAUUGAAUAUUUAAAAGACUAACAUCACUUCAGAAAAGUCAUGGUCUUAUUUGUUGGUCUUCACAAAGAGGGAUUUUACAAAUGGCAAAAAGCUCUUCAUGGAGCCGAAUCUUCUUCUGGCAGAUAAAAUCUUAUACAUAUUGUUAAAAGAAUUUCUCACAUUGAUGCAGGGAUGGAAGCCACUGAGCCUUACUUUCUCAGUCUCCUCAGUCCCCGACUUUGGAUGGUCACUAAGGUUGAAAUUUCAGAUUUUACCCCAGUGGAAUAUUAAGCUGAUUUAAAAAAAUUUUCUGAUUAUCUACUACAUCCAGAAAGUUGUUAGGUAAGUUUUGGAUGACCAAAAUAAGUUAUUUCCUUUAAUAAUUAGACGUAGUGAGAGAAAUAAGCAUGCAAGUAAAAACUGAAA
RNAcentral lists this long non-coding RNA (559 nucleotides) under Callithrix jacchus (white-tufted-ear marmoset). Its description in RNAcentral is "lncRNA (ENSCJAG00000084718.1)". The record is from RNAcentral. Lineage: Eukaryota; Metazoa; Chordata; Mammalia; Primates; Cebidae.